Long non-coding RNA from Cloeon dipterum, 590 nucleotides. RefSeq lists it as uncharacterized. NCBI's taxonomy places the organism in Eukaryota, Metazoa, Arthropoda, Insecta, Ephemeroptera, Baetidae. The transcript is spliced from 4 exons. The record is from RefSeq and is a predicted model, not a curated record.
UGCAAGCUACUACUCCGGGCAGAUGCGAGCUGCCACUUCCCUGGAGAAGAGCUCGCCGCCUACCUAGGGAGGAGACUCUCCUUAGAGAGGAGAGACUGCCCGACUGUUGACUCUGCCUUGAGAGGAGAGACUACCAGACCGCUCGAUUGCUGUGCUUUCGACUUGGCCCAGGACGCUUCUUCUCUGAGAGCCCGACCGAGCAACGAUCUCAUCUACGCCUAGGAGAUCUCGGAGAACAGACUUCCUUCGGUGUAGCCCCCUGCAGCCGGAGUGACCUGUAAGGCGAUCGACUGUGGCAGGCAGCCCUAGGAAGAAACUAGCUUCGAGUGAGGAGGGAACACACCUACGUCAGUCCUUACCUGAGUGCUCGAGGACCGACCCUUGACGUAGCCUACGACCUGGAAAGCAGAGAGAAAAAACCUGAGCACUACUCUCAGAAGCACGCACGCGGCCAUGCAGCAGGACACCGCCUUUCCCACCUGAGGACCACGACAGGAGCAGAGAACAUCGUUGCUGACGCGUGAACCCAAACUCCGACGCAACUCACUAUCCUUGUCUGAAUAAAUAAAGGUGCCAGACGGCUCAUAGCG